This 469-nucleotide ribosomal RNA is filed under the name uncultured bacterium. RNAcentral's name for it is "partial 16S ribosomal RNA". It matches the Rfam family "Bacterial small subunit ribosomal RNA", at positions 28 to 508 of the family's 1533-position model. The record is from RNAcentral.
GACGAACGCUGGCGGCGUGCUUAACACAUGCAAGUCGGACGGAAAGGCCCUGCUUUUGUGGGGUGCUCGAGUGGCGAACGGGUGAGUAACACGUGAGUAACCUGCCCUUGACUUUGGGAUAACUUCAGGAAACUGGGGCUAAUACCGGAUAGGAGCUCCUGCUGCAUGGUGGGGGUUGGAAAGUUUCGGCGGUUGGGGAUGGACUCGCGGCUUAUCAGCUUGUUGGUGGGGUAGUGGCUUACCAAGGCUUUGACGGGUAGCCGGCCUGAGAGGGUGACCGGCCACAUUGGGACUGAGAUACGGCCCAGACUCCUACGGGAGGCAGCAGUGGGGAAUAUUGCACAAUGGGCGGAAGCCUGAUGCAGCAACGCCGCGUGCGGGAUGACGGCCUUCGGGUUGUAAACCGCUUUCGCCUGUGACGAAGCAUGAGUGACGGUAAUGGGUAAAGAAGCACCGGCUAACUACGUGC